Non-coding RNA from Biomphalaria pfeifferi, 824 nucleotides. Lineage: Eukaryota; Metazoa; Mollusca; Gastropoda; Planorbidae. The record is from the annotation of a GenBank genome assembly.
AUUUAAAUUUCUAAUAAUAUUUAUUGUUUGUUUUUUCAUUGAGUGACAGCAACACAAAACUUGCUCUGUAAACACACAGAAUAAAUUACAAUAUUUGAUAGAAUUGUUAUGUAUAGAGAGAAAAUUAUUUCUCAAUCAACUGACAAAGAAAAUAAAGUUAACAGAAAAAAACUCUAUCACAUCAAUGUAAUAUAACAACUGUUUGGCUAAUUUUCUCUAAUUACUUGAAGAGUUUAUAUAUCCAACACUACAUCUGAGCCCUAUGGUAAUACAAUUGGAUUGAUUGUGAAAAAUAUGUUUAUAAUAACUAAACACUUGAAUCUAAAAUAUGGCAUCAUUUAGAAGCACAACUAGAUAUGCUGGUAUUUAAAGUAAUACAUUAGUUUCUGUAAAACAUCACCAUGAAUUCAACAAAAAAAAAGUUAAAGCAUACCGAUAUUACUUAAAAGUGUAUACUUGGCACAGAAACAGACCAAUAAGUCAAUAAAUCAAACUUGGAAAAAAGAGUAUAACAGUAUCACAAUAGGUUUUCUUGACCACAGAAAAAUGAAUGCAACAUGGUGGUGGGACGUACUGCACAGAUUUCACACUGGUGAUUGGUACAUACAAUAUCAAGGAUAGGAAAUGGACAAUAGCAGAAGGAAUUUAAAAUUACUGCAUAAAAAAUCAAGGGACCAACUUAAAUUUAUUACUUAAAAUUUUAAAAGACUUCAAAAUUAUAAAUAUUAAAUGCAGAUAACAAAAAUAUAAACAUAACUUUUUCAAACUAAUAUAAACUAAAUAAAAAGUAUUUGACCACAUUGGGUAAUAAUUUUUUAAAAAAA